This 225-nucleotide ribosomal RNA is filed under the name uncultured bacterium. Its description in RNAcentral is "partial 16S ribosomal RNA". It matches the Rfam family "Bacterial small subunit ribosomal RNA", at positions 111 to 334 of the family's 1533-position model. The record is from RNAcentral.
UAACGCGUGAGGAACCUGCCUCAAAGAGGGGGACAACAGUUGGAAACGACUGCUAAUACCGCAUAAGCCCACAGCUCGGCAUCGAGCAGAGGGAAAAGGAGCAAUCCGCUUUGAGAUGGCCUCGCGUCCGAUUAGCUAGUUGGUGAGGUAACGGCCCACCAAGGCGACGAUCGGUAGCUGGUCUGAGAGGACGACCAGCCACACUGGGACUGAGACACGGCCCAG